Regulatory RNA element from Jeotgalibacillus soli, 86 nucleotides. It matches the Rfam family "pan motif". The record is from Rfam. Lineage: Bacteria; Bacillati; Bacillota; Bacilli; Caryophanales; Caryophanaceae.
UGGGCAGUAUCAAAUGAACUGCACCCGAAGGUUCAAAAGUUAAUAGUUAUUUCUGCCUUGAUCCAUUGCGCGACAGGGACGGAGGA